GCUCGUUUAGCUCAGUGGUAGAGCGCCAGUCUAGUAAACUGGAGGUCGGGUGUUCGAUCCACCCAAUGAGCA
Transfer RNA from Fonticula alba, 72 nucleotides. It matches the Rfam family "tRNA". Rfam says of the family: Transfer RNA (tRNA) molecules are approximately 80 nucleotides in length. Their secondary structure includes four short double-helical elements and three loops (D, anti-codon, and T loops). Further hydrogen bonds mediate the characteristic L-shaped molecular structure. tRNAs have two regions of fundamental functional importance: the anti-codon, which is responsible for specific mRNA codon recognition, and the 3' end, to which the tRNAs corresponding amino acid is attached (by aminoacyl-tRNA synthetases). tRNAs cope with the degeneracy of the genetic code in two manners: having more than one tRNA (with a specific anti-codon) for a particular amino acid; and 'wobble' base-pairing, i.e. permitting non-standard base-pairing at the 3rd anti-codon position. The record is from Rfam. NCBI's taxonomy places the organism in Eukaryota, Rotosphaerida, Fonticulaceae.